UACGGAGGGAGCUAGCGUUGUUCGGAAUUACUGGGCGUAAAGCGCACGUAGGCGGCUUUGUAAGUUAGAGGUGAAAGCCUGGGGCUCAACUCCAGAAUUGCCUUUAAGACUGCAUCGCUUGAAUCAUGGAGAGGCGAGUGGAAUUCCGAGUGUAGAGGUGAAAUUCGUAGAUAUUCGGAAGAACACCAGUGGCGAAGGCGGCUCGCUGGACCAUUACUGACGCUGAUGCACGAAAAGCUAGGGGAGCAAACAGG
RNAcentral lists this ribosomal RNA (254 nucleotides) under uncultured bacterium. RNAcentral's name for it is "partial 16S ribosomal RNA". It matches the Rfam family "Bacterial small subunit ribosomal RNA", at positions 524 to 776 of the family's 1533-position model. The record is from RNAcentral.